Molecule: long non-coding RNA, 1262 nt
Filed under: Ornithorhynchus anatinus (platypus)
Lineage: Eukaryota; Metazoa; Chordata; Mammalia; Monotremata; Ornithorhynchidae
Description: lncRNA (ENSOANG00000043795.1)
Source: RNAcentral
CAUCACUAUUAUUAUUCACCCAACGUCACACAACAGGCAAGGGGCAGAGCCCCGAUUGGAACCCAGAUCCUGUGACUUCCAAGCAAGUGCUCUUUCCACUAAGCCACGCGAGUUCUCAGUCCCGCCCAGAAGGCUCCCGUCCCCUCCCUCCAGGAGAGAGGACUUCGAUCCUCACCCGGCCAGGUGCGGGGAAUACCUGGAUCCAGUCAUCUCCGGGCAGGAUCCCCUCCGGCUGCUUCUCCAGUUCCCCACCAAGGAGCAGGACGCCCAGCUCAGGUCAGCGCCCGGGAGGUGGCGAGCGAACCGAUGUCACUCGGAAUUCACUAGCCGUUCCCCCGGUCCAGCCCCGGCCGUGUCCGCAGCCGGUUCCUCCUCACCCACAGGCCCCGCUCCUGUUCUCGGAGUCACAAGCGAGGAGGAUCCGACGAGCCCUGCUCCUUGUCCUGGACGGAGGAUGCGGGACCAAAGGAUACUGAGCCACUGGUCGGUCCAUCUCAUCUGCCUCUGGACCGGCUUCCAUCAGGUUGCUGCUAAUUACCCCUUCUGGAGGUAUGGCACCUUGUGGGUUCUUGGGGAGGAGAGGGUAUUGAGAGCUUGAUGGGUCAUCCUGGUCAUUCCUCUGCCUCUGAGCUGGAUGGCCCCUAUCCCAUCUCAGUCAAUCCAGAAGCUUUGCUGCCUAGUGGAUAGAGAACAGGCAUAGGUGUCAAAAGGACCUGGUCUUAAUCCCAGUUUCUCUACUUGACUGUUGUUUGUCCUUGGGAAAGUCACUUAACUUCUCUGUGCCUCAGUUACCUCAUCUGUAAAAUGGGGAUUAAGGCUUUAAGCCUCAUAUGGGAUAUGGACUGUGUCCAUCUUGAUUACCUUGCAUCUACCCCACCACUUAGAACAGUGCCCGGCACAUAGUAAGCGCUUAACAAAUACCGUAAAAAACAAUCCAUGAGUAGGAUUUAUUGAGUGCCUGCUAGACAGGAUGCCUACCCUCAAGGAGUCUAGAAGAAGAGGCAAACACUGUAAUAAAUUGCAAAAAAGAGGAAUUUCAAUCACAUUGACUCUACCACUGUAGGGAAGACCUAAUCUCCCUCGGUCAUCAGUAAAGAAGCAGUGUGGUUUAGUGGAUAGAGCACGGGUCUGGGAGUCAGCAGGACCUGGGUUCUAAUCCAGGCUCCACCACAUGUCUGCUGUGUGACCUUAGGCAAGUCAUUUAACUUCUCUGGGUCUCAGUUACUUCAUCUGUAAAAUGGGAAUUAGGAGUGUGACUCCCC